This 1402-nucleotide ribosomal RNA is filed under the name Microbacteriaceae bacterium EQH3. Its description in RNAcentral is "bacterial SSU rRNA". It matches the Rfam family "Bacterial small subunit ribosomal RNA". Lineage: Bacteria; Bacillati; Actinomycetota; Actinomycetes; Micrococcales; Microbacteriaceae. The record is from RNAcentral.
GCUUGCUUGGUGGAUCAGUGGCGAACGGGUGAGUAACACGUGAGCAACCUGCCCUGGACUCUGGGAUAAGCGCUGGAAACGGCGUCUAAUACUGGAUAUGAGACGUGAUCGCAUGGUCGUGUUUGGAAAGAUUUUUCGGUCUGGGAUGGGCUCGCGGCCUAUCAGCUUGUUGGUGAGGUAAUGGCUCACCAAGGCGUCGACGGGUAGCCGGCCUGAGAGGGUGACCGGCCACACUGGGACUGAGACACGGCCCAGACUCCUACGGGAGGCAGCAGUGGGGAAUAUUGCACAAUGGGCGGAAGCCUGAUGCAGCAACGCCGCGUGAGGGAUGACGGCCUUCGGGUUGUAAACCUCUUUUAGCAGGGAAGAAGCGAAAGUGACGGUACCUGCAGAAAAAGCGCCGGCUAACUACGUGCCAGCAGCCGCGGUAAUACGUAGGGCGCAAGCGUUAUCCGGAAUUAUUGGGCGUAAAGAGCUCGUAGGCGGUUUGUCGCGUCUGCUGUGAAAUCCCGAGGCUCAACCUCGGGUCUGCAGUGGGUACGGGCAGACUAGAGUGCGGUAGGGGAGAUUGGAAUUCCUGGUGUAGCGGUGGAAUGCGCAGAUAUCAGGAGGAACACCGAUGGCGAAGGCAGAUCUCUGGGCCGUAACUGACGCUGAGGAGCGAAAGGGUGGGGAGCAAACAGGCUUAGAUACCCUGGUAGUCCACCCCGUAAACGUUGGGAACUAGUUGUGGGGACCAUUCCACGGUUUCCGUGACGCAGCUAACGCAUUAAGUUCCCCGCCUGGGGAGUACGGCCGCAAGGCUAAAACUCAAAGGAAUUGACGGGGACCCGCACAAGCGGCGGAGCAUGCGGAUUAAUUCGAUGCAACGCGAAGAACCUUACCAAGGCUUGACAUAUACGAGAACGGGCCAGAAAUGGUCAACUCUUUGGACACUCGUAAACAGGUGGUGCAUGGUUGUCGUCAGCUCGUGUCGUGAGAUGUUGGGUUAAGUCCCGCAACGAGCGCAACCCUCGUUCUAUGUUGCCAGCACGUAAUGGUGGGAACUCAUGGGAUACUGCCGGGGUCAACUCGGAGGAAGGUGGGGAUGACGUCAAAUCAUCAUGCCCCUUAUGUCUUGGGCUUCACGCAUGCUACAAUGGCCGGUACAAAGGGCUGCAAUACCGUGAGGUGGAGCGAAUCCCAAAAAGCCGGUCCCAGUUCGGAUUGAGGUCUGCAACUCGACCUCAUGAAGUCGGAGUCGCUAGUAAUCGCAGAUCAGCAACGCUGCGGUGAAUACGUUCCCGGGUCUUGUACACACCGCCCGUCAAGUCAUGAAAGUCGGUAACACCUGAAGCCGGUGGCCCAACCCUUGUGGAGGGAGCCGUCGAAGGUGGGAUCGGUAAUUAGGACUAAGUCGUAA